GGGUGAUCUCCUACUGUAUCAUAGGUCUAUAGACCAGGGUGAUCUCCUCCUGUAUCAUAGGUCUAUAGACCAGGGUGAUCUCCUACUGUAUCAUAGGUCUAUAGACCAGGGUGAUCUCCUACUGUAUCAUAGGUCUACAGACUUGUCUUCUCAAAACAGGCUUAAAACACAACAAGCAACAAACAAACAUUUUCUCUUUCUAAUCUGCUGUUAAUGCUUUUCACUCAGGAAGGUAUUUUGUGUGAAAGAGACAAAUAAAUAUUGUGGAAAGACUAACAACAAAUUACACUUCCUCAAAACAGGUUGUGUGUAUUCAUUAGUGCCCACCGUAACAAAACAACAGAAACCGUUUAGGUCACAUUGUACAGCAUUUAGAGAACUGUUUAUGUUUUAUGCAACAUUUUAAUACUGU
Oncorhynchus tshawytscha (Chinook salmon) is the source of this 412-nucleotide long non-coding RNA. Lineage: Eukaryota; Metazoa; Chordata; Actinopteri; Salmoniformes; Salmonidae. The record is from Ensembl.